GCCCAUGUUUCUCUCUGGAAUUGAAGUCACAAGAUGGAAAAUUAUUCAUAAUUGCAAUCAUAACAUACCAUACAAUAGAGAGUUUCCUGCCAAGGAAACUUUGAUUUCAAAGACCUUACGCAAGUCGCAUGUAGUCGUGACUAUUUUUUUUUUGCAAGAAGCUCCUGCCAGCCUUCAAACUCAACACAACCCAGGUGAUAUCCACAUCAUGGGUACUACCAAGAUUUUCCUGCUCCUUCUCUCAGUGGCCCUGUUGGCCCUGAGCUCAGCUCAAGGAACACCCAAGGAAGCCCCAAGACAGCAACCUGCUGAACCUGAACCAGCCCCAAGGCAACAAACUAGGAAAAGUAAAGGAGAACCAGGCGAACCACCUGAAGGAGAACCAGGUCCACCACCUGAAGGAGAACCAGGUGCACCACCUGAAGGAGAACCAGGUGCACCACCUGAAGGAGAACCAGGUGCACCACCUGAAGGAGAACCAGGUGCACCACCUGAAGGAGAACCAGGUGCACCACCUGAAGGAGAACCAGGUGCACCACCUGAAGGAAGAAGCUAUCUCAGACCUAGCCACAAGCCUACUCAUGCCAAUAUCUUCAAGGAGAGAAGAGAAGAAGAAAUAGGAGAACCAGGUGCACCACCUGAAGGUAAGUAGUAUGUCUAUCUCUAAACACUCCUUUCUUUCCCCGUUCCUUGAGGACCCUAGACCUUGUUCUCAUUUGAAACCAUUUGGCACAUCCACUCUUAAAGUUCAGUACCAAGAAAGAGAGGGUAAUAAUGAACUAGGAGGGUGGUCAGGUUAAAAGGCUUUGUUUUCUCUUGCCAUUGCAUAGCUCACAUAUUUCCACCAGAGAUUUUCCCAGAUCAAAAAUCCAAAAUGAUUUUCUCAUCUUUUCCUAAAGCAUAGUUUGCUUUUUUCCAUUGCCUAAUACCCUAGAUCAAAGAUUUCAAGAUCACUUUGUAAUAUUUAAUGCAAUGUUCUCUUCAUGUCUCUGCAGUGUGGGUAUUUCUCUCUCUCUUUCUCUGUGUUUUCACAGUCCCUCUGUGUCUGGUCUUUCUCUGAAUUGAUAUCUUUAUCUCUCUGUCUCUGUCUUGCUUUUUCUCUGCCUUUGUCUCUCCCUCUGUCUCUCUCUCUUUCACACACACACACACACACACACACACACACACACACACACAUGCACACACACAUUUUCUCUGUA
RNAcentral lists this long non-coding RNA (1199 nucleotides) under Phascolarctos cinereus (koala). Its description in RNAcentral is "lncRNA (ENSPCIG00000004492.2)". Lineage: Eukaryota; Metazoa; Chordata; Mammalia; Diprotodontia; Phascolarctidae. The record is from RNAcentral.